Nycticebus coucang (slow loris) is the source of this 101-nucleotide small nucleolar RNA. RefSeq annotates it as small nucleolar RNA U13. The record is from RefSeq and is a predicted model, not a curated record. Lineage: Eukaryota; Metazoa; Chordata; Mammalia; Primates; Lorisidae. The transcript has a single exon.
AUCCUUUAGUAGUUCAUAAGCGCAAUGAUUGGGUUGCGCAUGCGUGAGAUGUGCAGCCCCCAAACCUUGUUACCACAAGGUGGGCACAAGCCCGUCUGACG